AGCAGCCUGGCUGAGAGGAGCGUGGCUGUCUCCUCUCUCCGUCAUGGCGUGUGCUCGCCCACUAAUAUCGGUGUACUCCGAAAAGGGGGAGUCAUCUGGCAAAAAUGUCACUUUGCCUGCUGUAUUCAAGGCUCCUAUUCGACCAGAUAUUGUGAACUUUGUUCACACCAACUUGCGCAAAAACAACAGACAGCCCUACGCUGUCAGUGAAUUAGCAGGUCAUCAGACCAGUGCUGAGUCUUGGGGUACUGGCAGAGCUGUGGCUCGAAUUCCCAGAGUUCGAGGUGGUGGGACUCACCGCUCUGGCCAGGGUGCUUUUGGAAACAUGUGUCGUGGAGGCCGAAUGUUUGCACCAACCAAAACCUGGCGCCGUUGGCAUCGUAGAGUGAACACAACCCAAAAACGAUAUGCCAUCUGUUCUGCCUUGGCUGCUUCAGCCCUACCAGCACUGGUCAUGUCUAAAGGUCAUCGUAUUGAGGAAGUUCCUGAACUUCCUUUGGUAGUCGAAGAUAAAGUUGAAGGUUACAAGAAGACCAAGGAAGCUGUUUUGCUCCUUAAGAAACUUAAAGCCUGGAAUGAUAUCAAAAAGGUCCGUUUAAUGAGCACAUUUACAGUUUGGUACUCCUUGUUCACAGUUUGUCACUUUGAAUUUCAGAAGAUAAGGGCAGUAUAGCUAAGCCUUAAUGUGUGAGAGAACAUGAACCUCAGAGCCCGAUUACCUGGGUUUGAAUCCUAACUGCUGUUUAUGGCUCUGUAACCUUGGCAAGUUAUUGUGCCCAGUUUAAUCAUCUGUAAAAUGGAAUUAAAACUCUGAA
RNAcentral lists this small RNA (815 nucleotides) under Pongo abelii (Sumatran orangutan). RNAcentral describes it as "retained intron". The record is from RNAcentral. Lineage: Eukaryota; Metazoa; Chordata; Mammalia; Primates; Hominidae.